AGCAGUUCACACUUAUGUUACUGGAGAAAACAAUGGCUUACAUAGCAAAGUCAUUCUAUGACCUAUAUGCUACAAACAUAGAUGGGGAGAAAGUAGAUUUCAAUGUGUUUAGGGGAAGGGUGGUGUUGAUAGAAAAUGUUGCUUCACUUUGAGACACCACAGUCAGGGAUUACACCCAGCUUAAUGAGCUGCAGACCAAGUAUCCGCGACGGCUUGUGGUGCUGGGAUUUCCAUGCAAUCAAUUUGGUUAUCAAAAGUCUUUGAAGCCCUUGGGAAAACUGGAGGCCAUAUAAAUCCAUUGAAGGGCACACAGGCUUCCAGAUGGACAGCUAACACUAUUUAAGUACUUUUUUGUUCAGCUCCUAAUCCAUAUCCUGUUUCUUCUAAGCUGGAACUUCUUCUCACCGAUAACAUUUGAAUUUAAAUCCUUGGAAUUCUCCUCUGUAAAACCUGGUGGCAACAUAGGACAAGUGGGAUCCUCCCUAAAAAAAAGGGGCAGUCAUAGGAAAACUGUAAAAAUGAAGAGAUUCUUAAUUCUUUAAAAUAUGUACGACCCGGAAAAGGCUUUGUACCAGGAUUCACCCUGUUCCAGAAAUGUGAUGUUAAUGGAAAAGACACUCAUUCGGUUUUUGCUUACUUAAAGGACAAACUACCAGUCCCUGACAAUGAGCCUGCAGCCCUUAUUAGUGACCCCAGAUAUAUUGUAUGGAAUCCAGUACAUCGGUCUGACAUUUCCUGGAACUUUGAGAAGUUUCUUAUUGGACCUGAAGGAGAACCAUUCAAAAGAUACAACAAAAAUUUCCAAACCAUCAGUAUAGAACCUGACAUCCAGAGACUUCUUAAGCUCACCAAAUAGCAUCUAGAAUUAUGUGUAUGCAUGUAUGCUACAGAUAAUUACUACAUGGCAGCUCAUAAGAAAAUCUAAUUGGCCUUCACAGGGACUGCUGCAAUGUAAAUGGCAGUGGGCAAAUGUUUGUGACUAUCUACAUUCAUAAUAAUAUUGAUACCCACCUGGGAGUUGUUGUGUUUAGGGUUUUUGGGGAAGUUUAGUAGUGAGUGUCUCAGUUUUCACCCACUUCUUUUUUUCCCCAGUGGGACAACAGGUUUACAACUCUGCCCACACACACCAUGGCCACUAUACUUAUGGCCACGGUGAUCAUUAUAUUUUUAAUAUUUGCCCAUCUUAUAAUUAUUACAGAACAUUCUUUCACACUAGAGAAACAUUUAUUUUAGCAAUUGCUAAGGCUCCAACAGUUUUUCUUUUUCGCCUGUCAGUAAUGGGUUGCAGGAGCAGAAGAUUAUCAGUGUUUAGAUGUAAGCCUUGUUCUUGAUGACUGUAUUCUUUGAAAACCUGUUAGAAGGAUACAUGAAUGUUGUUGCAGGACUGUAUCUGGACACUGCUGUAUUUUUCCCCUGUACAAACUCAAAUAAACAUCAUGUGCUACAAUA
This is an RNA transcript of Xenopus tropicalis (tropical clawed frog), 1449 nucleotides long. It is a transcript of the gene named glutathione peroxidase 2, with no coding region annotated. NCBI's taxonomy places the organism in Eukaryota, Metazoa, Chordata, Amphibia, Anura, Pipidae. The record is from RefSeq and is marked reviewed.